RNAcentral lists this microRNA (24 nucleotides) under Brachypodium distachyon (stiff brome). RNAcentral's name for it is "bdi-miR7745-5p". Lineage: Eukaryota; Viridiplantae; Streptophyta; Magnoliopsida; Poales; Poaceae. The record is from miRBase by way of RNAcentral.
AGUAAGGCUUUAGUAACAAGAGAU